GGUUACACACAAACGGCCAUUCACAAUUGCAUACGAAUGUCCUCUCGACUACCUAUCUUCUUCUUCAUUUUGCCUUUUCUUCUGUCAUUGAACGUGUUCUCUUUUCUUCCAAAUCUCCUAAUAAAAGAAACAAACUUCGUCUUCUAUGAUCGUAAUUGUCAUGAAUUGAUCUACGAAAUGAAGAGCCGAGCGCCUGGUCCUCAAUACGAUCUGGCGAUUAUUUCCGACAAUGGAGGUAUAAAUACUUCGGAUACCAGACAGGUGAAGUUAAACCGGUUACAGAUUCUAUCCCGAGUUGCAAGUGAGACCAAAACCAAGAGGAAACAAUGGGUCAUACGAAUUGGCAUCAGCG
Molecule: long non-coding RNA, 352 nt
Organism: Capsella rubella
Lineage: Eukaryota; Viridiplantae; Streptophyta; Magnoliopsida; Brassicales; Brassicaceae
Exons: 3
Source: RefSeq, a predicted model, not a curated record